UGCCGCUCUUGAAGCCGCUCAAAGAGUCCGGACUGUAGAUCGCGCGUCAAACGCGGCUUCUUGAGGGGAGGCCCUUUCACCAGGACUAUGGCCAAGCGAUCCGGGUCGUCGGAAGGCUGACUUUGGCUUUCUGCCCCCGCUUCCUCCAACGGGGCCGUUUCAGCUGCAUCAGCAUCCGGAUUAAGGUUGCCCGGAUGGUUGAUAGAUGCAGCUUCCUCAGCCACGUUGGCCAGACGCGCAGCCGCGACUAAGGAGGGACCUGAGUGAUUCAACCCCGACAUGCGUCCGGGGCCGCUUGAGAUAGAGUGCGGAGCAGCAUUUACUGGCUCCUCUAUCAUUACUUCCCCCUCAUAGGUAGU
Molecule: long non-coding RNA, 359 nt
Filed under: Vitis vinifera (wine grape)
Lineage: Eukaryota; Viridiplantae; Streptophyta; Magnoliopsida; Vitales; Vitaceae
Description: long non-coding RNA (VVIN_LNC007675)
Source: RNAcentral